UACGUAGGUGGCAAGCGUUGUCCGGAAUCACUGGGCGUAAAGCGCGCGCAGGCGGCGAUCUACGUCUGGGGUGAAGGCCCGGAGCUCAACUCCGGGACUGCCUUGGAUACGGGAUCGCUUGAGGAUUGGAGAGGCAAGGGGAAUUCCACGUGUAGCGGUGAAAUGCGUAGAUAUGUGGAGGAACACCUGUGGCGAAGGCGCCUUGCUGGCCAAUUUCUGACGCUGAGGCGCGAAAGCGUGGGGAGCAAACAGG
Molecule: ribosomal RNA, 253 nt
Filed under: uncultured bacterium
Lineage: Bacteria
Description: partial 16S ribosomal RNA
Rfam family: Bacterial small subunit ribosomal RNA
Source: RNAcentral